This 753-nucleotide ribosomal RNA is filed under the name bacterium spbL1type1-1. Its description in RNAcentral is "bacterial SSU rRNA". It matches the Rfam family "Bacterial small subunit ribosomal RNA", at positions 49 to 794 of the family's 1533-position model. The record is from RNAcentral.
CUACCAUGCAGUCGAGCGGUAGCACGGGGAGCUUGCUCCUGGGUGACGAGCGGCGGACGGGUGAGUAAUGUCUGGGGAUCUGCCUGAUGGAGGGGGAUAACUACUGGAAACGGUAGCUAAUACCGCAUAACGUCGCAAGACCAAAGAGGGGGACCUUCGGGCCUCUUGCCAUCAGAUGAACCCAGAUGGGAUUAGCUAGUAGGUGGGGUAAUGGCUCACCUAGGCGACGAUCCCUAGCUGGUCUGAGAGGAUGACCAGCCACACUGGAACUGAGACACGGUCCAGACUCCUACGGGAGGCAGCAGUGGGGAAUAUUGCACAAUGGGCGCAAGCCUGAUGCAGCCAUGCCGCGUGUAUGAAGAAGGCCUUCGGGUUGUAAAGUACUUUCAGCGAGGAGGAAGGCAUUAAGGUUAAUAACCUUGGUGAUUGACGUUACUCGCAGAAGAAGCACCGGCUAACUCCGUGCCAGCAGCCGCGGUAAUACGGAGGGUGCAAGCGUUAAUCGGAAUUACUGGGCGUAAAGCGCACGCAGGCGGUUUGUUAAGUCGGAUGUGAAAUCCCCGGGCUCAACCUGGGAACUGCAUUCGAAACUGGCAAGCUUGAGUCUUGUAGAGGGGGGUAGAAUUCCAGGUGUAGCGGUGAAAUGCGUAGAGAUCUGGAGGAAUACCGGUGGCGAAGGCGGCCCCCUGGACAAAGACUGACGCUCAGGUGCGAAAGCGUGGGGGAGCAAACAGGAUUAGAUACCCUGGUAGU